UACGGAGGGUGCAAACGUUGCUCGGAAUCAUUGGGCGUAAAGCGCGCGUAGGCGGCGAAGCAAGUUGGAUGUGAAAGCCCUGGGCUCAACCUAGGAUGUGCAUACAAAACUGCUUCGCUUGAAUCUCGGAGGGGGUCAGGGAAUUCCCGGUGUAGAGGUGAAAUUCGUAGAUAUCGGGAGGAACACCAGUGGCGAAGGCGCUGACCUGGACGAUGAUUGACGCUGAGGCGCGGAAGCGUGGGGAGCAAACAGG
Molecule: ribosomal RNA, 253 nt
Filed under: uncultured bacterium
Lineage: Bacteria
Description: partial 16S ribosomal RNA
Rfam family: Bacterial small subunit ribosomal RNA
Source: RNAcentral